GAUGUUAGCGGCGGACGGGUGAGUAACACGUGGGUAACCUGCCUGUAAGACUGGGAUAACUCCGGGAAACCGGAGCUAAUACCGGAUAGUUCCUUGAACCGCAUGGUUCAAGGAUGAAAGACGGUUUCGGCUGUCACUUACAGAUGGACCCGCGGCGCAUUAGCUAGUUGGUGAGGUAACGGCUCACCAAGGCGACGAUGCGUAGCCGACCUGAGAGGGUGAUCGGCCACACUGGGACUGAGACACGGCCCAGACUCCUACGGGAGGCAGCAGUAGGGAAUCUUCCGCAAUGGACGAAAGUCUGACGGAGCAACGCCGCGUGAGUGAUGAAGGUUUUCGGAUCGUAAAGCUCUGUUGUUAGGGAAGAACAAGUGCAAGAGUAACUGCUUGCACCUUGACGGUACCUAACCAGAAAGCCACGGCUAACUACGUGCCAGCAGCCGCGGUAAUACGUAGGUGGCAAGCGUUGUCCGGAAUUAUUGGGCGUAAAGGGCUCGCAGGCGGUUUCUUAAGUCUGAUGUGAAAGCCCCCGGCUCAACCGGGGAGGGUCAUUGGAAACUGGGAAACUUGAGUGCAGAAGAGGAGAGUGGAAUUCCACGUGUAGCGGUGAAAUGCGUAGAGAUGUGGAGGAACACCAGUGGCGAAGGCGACUCUCUGGUCUGUAACUGACGCUGAGGA
RNAcentral lists this ribosomal RNA (678 nucleotides) under Bacillus pumilus. Its description in RNAcentral is "bacterial SSU rRNA". It matches the Rfam family "Bacterial small subunit ribosomal RNA", at positions 88 to 752 of the family's 1533-position model. The record is from RNAcentral. Lineage: Bacteria; Bacillati; Bacillota; Bacilli; Caryophanales; Bacillaceae.